This 250-nucleotide unclassified non-coding RNA is filed under the name plant metagenome. RNAcentral's name for it is "partial contains small subunit ribosomal RNA and internal transcribed spacer 1". The record is from RNAcentral.
UUCACCUAUUGAAGCCUUCAGCAGCGACUGUAAAGAAAUGCGUAGUUUGCUUGCAAGCAAUGCCACUUAAAUGCUGAGACAUAUGAAUCAGCAGCCUUCUAGGCUCACAGAUCAAAUUGUGGUAACCAUUCUUAUGGGCAAGAUAUGACCGGUCUUAACUAGAGUUAGUUAAGAAUCUACGUUCCGUAGGUGAACCUGCGGAAGGAUCAUUAAAAGGUUUCGGGUACCUAGUGCCCAAACUUCAACCCUA